CACACCUCCAAGCAGCGAGUAGGUGAAAAUCCAUGAUGCUAUUUUUUCAGUGUCACUUAGUUUGAUAAAUUUAUAGAGCCUGACACCUCCCAAACAACUAUAGUUCAUUCAUUCUGUGUGCUGUUUUUUGUUUUUAGGAUGUGUAUCUUCAGAACAGUGCUCUCUAGAUCGGUGGUGAGACCUUUUUCUUCACUUGGUUAGAGAGCAGUGCUACAUACAAGAAGCUCUCAAACUCGUGAGAAAAUGCCAAGCAAUAAUGACAUUACUGUAGAGGAUCCAUAAAAUUGCACUUCUUGUCAAGUUACAACAUAAAAGGUCUAUGGUUUUAACAGCUUCAAUCUGAACUACAAUGACUUAAAUUUAUUAUUAUUAUUGUUGUUGUUGUUAUUAUCAUCAUCAUCACCAUUAUUAUUAUUAUUAUUAUUAUUAUUUAUUAUCAUUAUUCAUUCCCCCAGCCCCACAUCAGAUCUAGUAAGCUCAAGACACAGACACUCAUUGUUUGUGUCAUUUUAAGAACAUUAUUAUAAUUAUAAUUAUUGCUUAUACUACAAGUUUUGUAAAUAUUCUUGAUAUUACAUGUAUUUCUCCAUGGAGAAGAAAGGCACACCUCCAUGCUCCUCCUUCAUAUUAUCAUUUACUGAGCUUUAUUCCUCGAGUUUUCAGAAAUAAAGAUAACUGAAGUUUUUGCCUGGUCAGGCUACCAAUAUUAUUAUUAUAAUAAGUCUGCCCAGUGAGUUAGUCUUUAUU
Long non-coding RNA from Amphimedon queenslandica, 747 nucleotides. RefSeq lists it as uncharacterized. The record is from RefSeq and is a predicted model, not a curated record. The transcript has 3 exons. NCBI's taxonomy places the organism in Eukaryota, Metazoa, Porifera, Demospongiae, Haplosclerida, Niphatidae.